This 253-nucleotide ribosomal RNA is filed under the name uncultured bacterium. RNAcentral describes it as "partial 16S ribosomal RNA". It matches the Rfam family "Bacterial small subunit ribosomal RNA", at positions 524 to 776 of the family's 1533-position model. The record is from RNAcentral.
UACGUAGGUGGCGAGCGUUGUCCGGAUUUAUUGGGCGUAAAGCGCGCGCAGGCGGUUCGCUCCGUCCGGUGUGAAAUCUCCCGGCUCACCUGGGAGGGGGCGCUGGAGACUGGCGAACUGGAGGCAGGGAGAGGUCGGUGGAAUUCCCGGUGUAGUGGUGAAAUGCGUAGAGAUCGGGAGGAACACCAGUGGCGAAAGCGGCGCACUGGACCACAACUGACGCUGAGGCGCGAAAGCUAGGGGAGCAAACAGG